GAUGAACGCUAGCUACAGGCUUAACACAUGCAAGUCGAGGGGUAACGAGAGGAAAGCUUGCUUUCCUUGUCGACGACCGGCGCACGGGUGAGUAACGCGUAUCCAACCUGCCCCCAACUAGGGAAUAACCUUGCGAAAGUAAGACUAAUACCCUAUAAUUUCCUCAGAUGUCAUCUGACGAGGAAUAAAGAUUUAUCGGUUGUGGAUGGGGAUGCGUCUGAUUAGCUUGUUGGCGGGGUAACGGCCCACCAAGGAAACGAUCAGUAGGUGUUCAGAUGUGAAGGUCCCACGAAUUGGAGCUUAUACACGUUACAUCCUCAUACGGGAGGCAGCAGUGAGGAAUAUUGGUCAAUGGGCGGAAGCCUGAACCAGCCAAUUAGCGUGCAGGAUGACGGCCCUAUGGAUUGUAAACUGCUUUUAUACAGGAAUAAAGUUAGCCACGUGUGGUUAUUUGUAGGUACUGUAUGAAUAAGGACCGGCUAAUUCCGUGCCAGCCGCCGCGGUAA
RNAcentral lists this ribosomal RNA (506 nucleotides) under uncultured bacterium. RNAcentral describes it as "partial 16S ribosomal RNA". It matches the Rfam family "Bacterial small subunit ribosomal RNA", at positions 28 to 523 of the family's 1533-position model. The record is from RNAcentral.